Molecule: non-coding RNA, 105 nt
Organism: Nemania abortiva
Lineage: Eukaryota; Fungi; Ascomycota; Sordariomycetes; Xylariales; Xylariaceae
Source: the annotation of a GenBank genome assembly
GGGCGAAUGGUCUAGGGGUAUGAUACUCCCUUCGCAUAACUACUCUGAGAUUCUUCAGACAUUAGUGACUGGGAGGGGUCCGGGGUUCAAUUCCCCGUUCGUCCA